Long non-coding RNA from Mobula hypostoma (lesser devil ray), 470 nucleotides. RefSeq lists it as uncharacterized. Lineage: Eukaryota; Metazoa; Chordata; Chondrichthyes; Myliobatiformes; Myliobatidae. The transcript has 4 exons. The record is from RefSeq and is a predicted model, not a curated record.
UAGAUAAGAAGCAAACCUGUGUGAAAGUCUGAAGCAAAGAGCAAGAUUUAUCUUUGGUUUUGGCCAAAAGAAGUGAUCAAUUACUGUUUCAGGCCAAUGCCCAAGCACCCUUCAUCGUUGCAGUUCACCACACAACAGAUAGAUACCAGUGGUGUCAGCUAUCUUGAUGACUCUUCUUGAUUGGGUAGCCUGCAACAUUAACUCUCCAUGCUUAUAAAUUUACCAUAGUCGUCAAUGAAAAGAACAUGAUCACGGACCAUAGCAUCAAUCAAGAGCAACUUCAAAGGAAAAGCUUCUUCAUUAUGCGGCUUGAUGUCACAAUGCUUUUGAUGUCAGAUUGACAAGGAGAAAAAGUCAGAAAUUUGGCCCAGGUGAGGAGACUUGGCAAAAAGAUAUGUUCAUCUACGUCAAGUACGGAGAUGGUGAGUAUUUUCUUGCUAACCCCAACUGCCCUCUCAGGAAUUUCCUGC